Molecule: ribosomal RNA, 468 nt
Filed under: uncultured bacterium
Lineage: Bacteria
Description: partial 16S ribosomal RNA
Rfam family: Bacterial small subunit ribosomal RNA
Source: RNAcentral
GACGAACGCUGGCGGCGUGCUUAACACAUGCAAGUCGAACGAUGAAAGAGGAGAUUGCUCCUCUGGAUUAGUGGCGAACGGGUGAGUAACAAGUGAGCAAUCUGCCCCUGACUCCGGAAUAACUACGGGAAACUGUAGCUAAUACCGGCUAUGCGCCGCACAGGCAUCUGUAUCGGUGGGAAAGAAUUUCGGUCAGGGAUGAGCUCGCGGCCUAUCAGCUUUUUGGUGAGGUAACGGCUCACCAAGGCGACGACGGGUAGCCGGCCUGAGAGGGUGACCGGCCACAUUGGGCCUGAGACACGGCCCAGACUCCUACGGGAGGCAGCAGUGGGGAAUAUGGCACAAUGGGCGCAAGCCUGAGGCAGCAACGCCGCGUGAGGGAUGACGGCCUUCGGGUUGUAAACCUCUUUUAGCAGGGAAGAAGCGAAAGUGACGGUACCUGCAGAAAAAGCGCCGGCUAACUACGUG